RNAcentral lists this ribosomal RNA (468 nucleotides) under uncultured bacterium. Its description in RNAcentral is "partial 16S ribosomal RNA". It matches the Rfam family "Bacterial small subunit ribosomal RNA", at positions 28 to 507 of the family's 1533-position model. The record is from RNAcentral.
GACGAACGCUGGCGGCGUGCUUAACACAUGCAAGUCGAACGGAAAGGCCCUGCUUUUGUGGGGUGCUCGAGUGGCGAACGGGUGAGUAACACGUGAGUAACCUGCCCUUGACAUUGGGAUAACUUCAGGAAACUGGGGCUAAUACCGGAUAGGAGCUCCUGCUGCAUGGUGGGGGUUGGAAAGUUUCGGCGGUUGGGGAUGUACUCGCGGGUUAUCAGCUUGUUGGUGGGGUAGUGGCUUACCAAGGCUUCGACGGGUAGCCGGCAUGGGAGCGUGGCCGGCGACAUGGGGACUGAGAUAGGGCGCAGACGCCUACGGGAGGCAGCAGUGGGGAGUAUGACGGAGUGGGCGGGAGCGUGAGGCGGCAACGCCGCGUGCGGGAUAACGGCCUUCGGGUGGUGAACAGCUUUCGCCGGUGACGAAGCGUGAGUGACGGUAAUGGGUAAAGAAGCACCGGCUAACUACGUG